RNAcentral lists this ribosomal RNA (465 nucleotides) under Vreelandella stevensii. RNAcentral describes it as "partial 16S ribosomal RNA". It matches the Rfam family "Bacterial small subunit ribosomal RNA", at positions 338 to 795 of the family's 1533-position model. Lineage: Bacteria; Pseudomonadati; Pseudomonadota; Gammaproteobacteria; Oceanospirillales; Halomonadaceae. The record is from RNAcentral.
CCUACGGGAGGCAGCAGUGGGGAAUAUUGGACAAUGGGGGCAACCCUGAUCCAGCCAUGCCGCGUGUGUGAAGAAGGCCCUCGGGUUGUAAAGCACUUUCAGUGAGGAAGAACGCCUGGUGGUUAAUACCCAUCAGGAAAGACAUCACUCACAGAAGAAGCACCGGCUAACUCCGUGCCAGCAGCCGCGGUAAUACGGAGGGUGCGAGCGUUAAUCGGAAUUACUGGGCGUAAAGCGCGCGUAGGUGGCUUGAUAAGCCGGUUGUGAAAGCCCCGGGCUCAACCUGGGAACGGCAUCCGGAACUGUCAAGCUAGAGUGCAGGAGAGGAAGGUAGAAUUCCCUGUGUAGCGGUGAAAUGCGUAGAGAUCGGGAGGAAUACCAGUGGCGAAGGCGGCCUUCUGGACUGACACUGACACUGAGGUGCGAAAGCGUGGGUAGCAAACAGGAUUAGAUACCCUAGUAGUC